This 723-nucleotide ribosomal RNA is filed under the name Escherichia coli. RNAcentral describes it as "bacterial SSU rRNA". It matches the Rfam family "Bacterial small subunit ribosomal RNA", at positions 1 to 713 of the family's 1533-position model. Lineage: Bacteria; Pseudomonadati; Pseudomonadota; Gammaproteobacteria; Enterobacterales; Enterobacteriaceae. The record is from RNAcentral.
AAAUUGAAGAGUUUGAUCAUGGCUCAGAUUGAACGCUGGCGGCAGGCCUAACACAUGCAAGUCGAACGGUAACAGGAAACAGCUUGCUGUUUCGCUGACGAGUGGCGGACGGGUGAGUAAUGUCUGGGAAACUGCCUGAUGGAGGGGGAUAACUACUGGAAACGGUAGCUAAUACCGCAUAACGUCGCAAGACCAAAGAGGGGGACCCUCGGGCCUCUUGCCAUCGGAUGUGCCCAGAUGGGAUUAGCUUGUUGGUGGGGUAACGGCUCACCAAGGCGACGAUCCCUAGCUGGUCUGAGAGGAUGACCAGCCACACUGGAACUGAGACACGGUCCAGACUCCUACGGGAGGCAGCAGUGGGGAAUAUUGCACAAUGGGCGCAAGCCUGAUGCAGCCAUGCCGCGUGUAUGAAGAAGGCCUUCGGGUUGUAAAGUACUUUCAGCGGGGAGGAAGGGAGUAAAGUUAAUACCUUUGCUCAUUGACGUUACCCGCAGAAGAAGCACCGGCUAACUCCGUGCCAGCAGCCGCGGUAAUACGGAGGGUGCAAGCGUUAAUCGGAAUUACUGGGCGUAAAGCGCACGCAGGCGGUUUGUUAAGUCAGAUGUGAAAUCCCCGGGCUCAACCUGGGAACUGCAUCUGAUACUGGCAAGCUUGAGUCUCGUAGAGGGGGGUAGAAUUCCAGGUGUAGCGGUGAAAUGCGUAGAGAUCUGGAGGAAUACCGGU